Molecule: ribosomal RNA, 207 nt
Filed under: uncultured bacterium
Lineage: Bacteria
Description: partial 16S ribosomal RNA
Rfam family: Bacterial small subunit ribosomal RNA
Source: RNAcentral
CGGAUUGUAGUCUGCAACCCGACUACAUGAAGCCGGAAUCGCUAGUAAUCGCGGAUCAGAAUGCCGCGGUGAAUACGUUCCCGGGUCUUGUACACACCGCCCGUCACACCAUGGGAGUCGGAAAUGCCCGAAGUCUGUGACCCAACCGCAAGGAGGGAGCAGCCGAAGGCAGGUCGGAUGACUGGGGUGAAGUCGUAACAAGGUAAC